RNAcentral lists this ribosomal RNA (440 nucleotides) under uncultured bacterium. Its description in RNAcentral is "partial 16S ribosomal RNA". It matches the Rfam family "Bacterial small subunit ribosomal RNA", at positions 338 to 795 of the family's 1533-position model. The record is from RNAcentral.
CCUACGGGAGGCAGCAGUGGGGAAUAUUGCACAAUGGGGGAAACCCUGAUGCAGCGACGCCGCGUGAGUGAAGAAGUAUCUCGGUACGUAAAGCUCUAUCAGCAGGGAAGAAAAUGACGGUACCUGACUAAGAAGCCCCGGCUAACUACGUGCCAGCAGCCGCGGUAAUACGUAGGGGGCAAGCGUUAUCCGGAUUUACUGGGUGUAAAGGGAGCGUAGACGGCGGUGCAAGCCCGAUGUGAAAGGCGGGGGCGCAACCCCGGGACUGCAUUGGGAACUGUCCGGCUGGAGAGCCGGAGGGGUAGGCGGAAUUCCUGGUGUAGCGGUGAAAUGCGUAGAUAUCAGGAGGAACACCGGUGGCGAAGGCGGCUUGCUGGACGGCGACUGACGUUGAGGCUCGAAAGCGUGGGGAGCGAACAGGAUUAGAUACCCCGGUAGUC